This 465-nucleotide ribosomal RNA is filed under the name uncultured bacterium. Its description in RNAcentral is "partial 16S ribosomal RNA". It matches the Rfam family "Bacterial small subunit ribosomal RNA", at positions 28 to 507 of the family's 1533-position model. The record is from RNAcentral.
GACGAACGCUGGCGGCGUGCUUAACACAUGCAAGUCGAACGGAAAGGCCCCUUUGGGGGUACUCGAGUGGCGCACGGGUGAGUAACACGUGAGUAACCUGCCCUUGACUUCGGGAUAACUUCAGGAAACUGGGGCUAAUACCGGCUAGGAAUCCUUGCUGCAUGGUGGGGGUUGGAAAGCUUCGGCGGUUUUGGAUGGACUCGCGGCUUAUCAGCUUGUUGGUGGGGUAGUGGCUUACCAAGGCUUUGACGGGUAGCCGGCCUGAGAGGGCGACCGGCCACAUUGGGACUGAGAUGCGGCACAGACUGCGACGGGAGGCAGAUGUGGGGAAUAUUGCACAAGGGGCGGAGGGCUGAUGAAGCAACGCCGCGUGCGGGAGGACGGCCUUCGGGUUGAAAACCGCUUUCAGCAGGGGAGAAGCUUGUGGUGACGGUACCUGCAGAAGAAGCACCGGCUAACUACGUG